ACGGCGAGUGAAGCGGGAAGAGCUCAAAUUUGAAAUCUGGCAGUCUUCGAUUGUCCGAGUUGUAAUCUAUAGAGGCGUUUUCCGUGCCGGACCGUGUCCAAGUCUCCUGGAAAGGAGUAUCAAAGAGGGUGAUAAUCCCGUACUUAACACGACCACCGGUGCUCUGUGAUACGUCUUCUACGAGUCGAGUUGUUUGGGAAUGCAGCUCAAAAUGGGUGGUGAAUUCCAUCUAAAGCUAAAUAUUGGCGAGAGACCGAUAGCGAACAAGUACCGUGAGGGAAAGAUGAAAAGCACUUUGGAAAGAGAGUUAAACAGUACGUGAAAUUGUUGAAAGGGAAACGAUUGAAGUCAGUCGUGUUCUUUGGAUUCAGCCAGUUCUGCUGGUCUACUUCCUUUGAACGGGUCAACAUCAGUUUUGUCCGGUGGAUAAAGGUAGUAGGAAUGUGACUUCCCCGGAAGUGUUAUAGCCUAUUAUCACAUACACUGGGUGAGACUGAGGACUGCAGCUCGCCUUUAUGGCCGACCUUCGGGUACGUUCGAGCU
This 543-nucleotide ribosomal RNA is filed under the name Trichosporon faecale. RNAcentral describes it as "eukaryotic LSU rRNA". It matches the Rfam family "Eukaryotic large subunit ribosomal RNA", at positions 86 to 617 of the family's 3401-position model. The record is from RNAcentral. Lineage: Eukaryota; Fungi; Basidiomycota; Tremellomycetes; Trichosporonales; Trichosporonaceae.